AAGAGUUGCAAGACUCCACAAACCAUCGCUGAACGUUACCUCACCGUUGCUUCGGCGGGGCCAGCGCCCCCGGCCCCCGGGGGGGACGGCUACCAGAACUCUUGCAGUUAGUUGGCCUCUCUGAGUAUUAUUUAUGAAUACAGUCA
RNAcentral lists this unclassified non-coding RNA (146 nucleotides) under soil metagenome. RNAcentral describes it as "partial internal transcribed spacer 1". The record is from RNAcentral.